RNAcentral lists this ribosomal RNA (627 nucleotides) under Triticum aestivum (bread wheat). Its description in RNAcentral is "partial small subunit ribosomal RNA". The record is from RNAcentral. Lineage: Eukaryota; Viridiplantae; Streptophyta; Magnoliopsida; Poales; Poaceae.
AUGUCUUCCUCCUCCGGUGCCGCCCAGUCCAAUCUCAAUGGGCAGGUCAUCGAGAAGCUUUCCCGCAUGCACUACGUGCUGUGGCGCACGCAGAUCACACCCCAACUGCGUGGCGCCAGUGUCUUCGACUACAUCGACGACACAUCACCGGAGCCGGCCAAGCUCCGCGCCGCCAAGGACAAGGACGGCAAGGACACCUUCGAGCCCAACCCUCUCCACCCUCUCUGGGUCAGGGAGGACCAGCAGGUGCUCGACUUCCUCCUCAGCAACCACUCCAAGGAGGUGCUGGUCACGGUGACCACGGUCACCAUGGCGAAGGCGCUCUGGACGACGCUGGCGGGCAUGUACUCGUCGCAGUCGCUAAGCCGCGUCAACAACAUCCGGACCUCCCUCAUCAACGCACAGAAAGGUACCCAAUCCGCCGCCACCUACUUCGCCUACAUGCGUGGCCUCGCCGACGAGCUGGCCGCGGCGGGCAAGCCGAUCCAGGAUGAUGAGCUGAUCUCCUAUAUCCUCCAUGGGCUGGAUCUGGAGUACCAGCCCCUGGUCUCAGCCCUCGACGCCCGCGUCUCACCCGCCUCCCUCGAUGAGAUCUUCGCCACGCUCAGCAACUUCGACCAACGCAUG